ACAGCAGCAGCCGCGGGAAUACGAAGGGGGCUAGCGUUGUUCGGAAUUACUGGGCUUAAAGGGCGCGCAGGCGGCCAUUCAAGUUAGAUGUGAAAGCCCUGGGCUCAACCUAGGAAUUGCAUUUGAUACUGUUUGGCUUGAGUUCGGGAGAGGUGAGUGGAAUUCCCAGUGUAGAGGUGAAAUUCGUAGAUAUUGGGAAGAACACCAGUGGCGAAGGCGGCUCACUGGACCGACACUGACGCUGAGGCGCGAAAGCGUGGGGAGCAAACAGGAUUAGAUACCCGGGUAGUCCCUGUCUCUUAUAC
RNAcentral lists this ribosomal RNA (305 nucleotides) under uncultured bacterium. RNAcentral's name for it is "partial 16S ribosomal RNA". It matches the Rfam family "Bacterial small subunit ribosomal RNA", at positions 505 to 807 of the family's 1533-position model. The record is from RNAcentral.